RNAcentral lists this ribosomal RNA (483 nucleotides) under uncultured bacterium. RNAcentral describes it as "partial 16S ribosomal RNA". It matches the Rfam family "Bacterial small subunit ribosomal RNA", at positions 28 to 507 of the family's 1533-position model. The record is from RNAcentral.
GACGAACGCUAGCGGCGUGCUUAACACAUGCAAGUCGAACGGAAAGGCCCGGCUUGUGUGGGGUGCUCGAGUGGCGAACGUGUGUGUAACGCGUGAGUCACCUGCCCUUGACUUGGGGAUAACUUCAGGAAACUGGGGCUAAUACCGGAUAGGAGCACGAGCUCAAUGGCGGGGGUUGGAAAGUUUCGGGGGUUGAGGAUGGGAUUGCGUGCCAUGAGUAUGUUGGGGGGGAAACGGCUUACCAAGGCGACGAUGACUAGGGGACCUGAGAGGAUGACCCCCCACACUGGUACUGAGACACGGACCAGACUCAUACGGGAGGCAGCAGUAAGGAAUAUUGGUCAAUGGAGGGAACUCUGAACCAGCCAUGCCGCGGGCAGGAAGACAGCCCUCUGGGUCGUAAACUGCUUUUAUUCGGGAAUAAACCUUUCUACGUGUAGGAAGCUGAAUGUACCGAAGGAAUAAGGAUCGGCUAACUCCGUG